GACGAACGCUGGCGGCGUGCUUAACACAUGCAAGUCGAACGGAAAGGCCCUGCUUUUGUGGGGUGCUCGAGUGGCGAACGGGUGAGUAACACGUGAGUAACCUGCCCUUGACUUUGGGAUAACUUCAGGAAACUGGGGCUAAUACCGGAUAGGAGCUCCUGCUGCAUGGUGGGGGUUGGAAAGUUUCGGCGGUUGGGGAUGGACUCGCGGCUUAUCAGCUUGUUGGUGGGGUAGUGGCUUACCAAGGCUUUGACGGGUAGCCGGCCGGAGAGGGUGACCGGCCACAUUGGGACAGAGAAAGGGCCAGUACGCAAGCGGGGGGAAGCAGGGGGAGUUUUACCAAAAGGGGCGGAGGCCGGAUGCAGCAACGCCGGGUGGGGGAGCGCGGUCUGGGGGUUAUAACCCGCUUUCGCCUGGGACGAAGGGUGAGUGAGGGUAAUGUAUAAAAAAGCCCCGGCUAGCUACGUG
Molecule: ribosomal RNA, 468 nt
Filed under: uncultured bacterium
Lineage: Bacteria
Description: partial 16S ribosomal RNA
Rfam family: Bacterial small subunit ribosomal RNA
Source: RNAcentral